AACGCAUAUUGCGCCCUCUGGUAUUCCGGAGGGCAUGCCUGUUCGAGCGUCAUUAUAAUCUCUCAAGUGAAAUUUUUUGCUUGGUCAUGGGUCCUCGCCUCCCCUGAGGCGUACCUGAAAAUUAGCGGCGGUGCAGCUGGUCCUCGAGCGCAUUAAGAUAACAUCGCUACGGGGGGCUUCCAGGUUCUGCUCCAGCCGGAUUGAAAUUUUUUUAUUCCAAUGAUUGACCUCGGAUCAGGUAGGGAUACCCGCUGAACUUAA
Molecule: unclassified non-coding RNA, 261 nt
Filed under: uncultured fungus
Lineage: Eukaryota; Fungi
Description: sequence contains ITS2
Rfam family: 5.8S ribosomal RNA (bases 1-52)
Source: RNAcentral